UGACUUCGUCGCUUGGAAAGCGUACUGCCUCGCGGUUAGGACUCGACAAGUAGAUCUCCAGGUAGAGGACGAGGCAAAGGCAAGGGCAAGCUGGCGAGCGACCCGAAGUGAGACCGAGGAGGGCCAUAGGGACUACCGCUUCCGCUUAUUUCUUAUUUCAGAUUUUAGCAUUUGAGUUUGAGUACUUUUUAUUUUUCACUAUCUUUUAUGUAGAUAGGGCCCGAGUAGGAUUUCAGAACGUUUUUACAUUUUUGCAUGACUACCUUGUUUAUGUUUUUAUAAAUGAAUUUCUUGAACCGUAUGCUUUUAAUAAAAUUUUUAGACUUAAACCACUUGUUCUAUAUUUAGUAAUGACUUCGAUUCAGCAUAA
Cucumis melo (muskmelon) is the source of this 370-nucleotide long non-coding RNA. RefSeq lists it as uncharacterized. Lineage: Eukaryota; Viridiplantae; Streptophyta; Magnoliopsida; Cucurbitales; Cucurbitaceae. The transcript is spliced from 2 exons. The record is from RefSeq and is a predicted model, not a curated record.